CGGUUCCAAUUAAUUCACAUCACCAAUAUUUUAAUCGAAUAACAUUACUAAAAAACCAUUAAAAAAUAAGAAAGGGUAAAUGAGAGAUUUACCCAUAAGGUAAAUCUGGAAAGAUCCGAAGGAAACCGAAAAUCACUCCCCCACUUCCUAUUCGGAAGAAGUUGAAUCGAUUAGGGCUCAGAGAUUCCAUCGCCGUGAAAUUUCUGUACUUUAUCCAAGAAGAUUGAAGAAGAACUGGUUUUUGGGUUUCUCUUCGAAAAAUUCUUGUCCAAAUUCGAAUAGAGCAACUCUUGAUUUUUUCGAAGAAGAUUGAAGGACGACCAUCCGGUGAUCGCAGAAGACCGAAGAACCACGAAAUUUUCACACAGGGCUGAAGAACGUCGAUCUUACUGUGUAAAUGUAAGUCUUAGUUGUAAUCUCGCUAUAUCAUUUUUCAUUCGGAAUUUAAAAACACGAAAUCUUCAUUUAUAGUUACAUUUUUUACAGAUAUGUAAUUUUUAAGGAUUUUACUGUUUCCCAGAAAAAAUCUAGCAUAAUCUAAGAAUAUUCCACCAAAAAAACAUCGAAAUAAUUUUUCCGAAUGUUCGAAAGAGAUUGUGAAAAGUAUUUAUUCUGUGGAAAUUAGGGCUUUGGGGGUCCGAAUCGAAAAAUUAUUAGUUUUUUUAAAUGAUAAUUUUCGAUCUAAAGAUUCAGUUUUUUAGAAUUAUUAGCUUUGAAUAUCUUGAAAUCAAUAUUCAUCAAAUUUUUACUUUUGUUCAUAAAUCAAUCAUAAUUGUUCGGUUCAUAUGAUAUUUGGUGAUUGAGUAUAUCUUAUUAUGAAAUCUUAUGAAAUUGCUUUAACUGGUUCAUUCUAAAAUGAAUAAUGAUUGUUUGGUUUGUAUUAUUUUCAGAAUAUAAUGUAACUUAUUCAAUUAUAAUGAUAUAUAGUUUAUUCUUUUACAGGAGAUACCGGAGAUACAAACAAGUGUUUUGAAGUUUAUUGCUGUGAAAAGGUAAUGUUUUCACCAAUAUUGUUUAGGAUCUGUAAAGUUUUAUGGUGGUUUUCGAUUUUUAGGGCUAUUCAUUGAAUACAGUGCCUUCCUACUUUUAUCUCCAUAUAUGUGAAUGCACCAAUGCAGUCUCUUAGUGAAAAACCACGCCUGAAUACAACAAAUAAUUUCGUGUUCGAUGCAUCUUGUUCAAGAAAUUAAAAUAAUUGUUCACAAAUCUGAUAAUGUCUGUUCAAUUAUAAUGAAUAAAUAAUUGCGUAUUUCUUGUUCAAUGAAUUUUUGUAUUAUGUUCAGCUUUAGAUAAGUGGUGUUCAGUAAAUUACAGCAUGCUAUUCAAAGUGUUUUUCAGAAAGUUAUGUCAAAUUCGGUGCGUGGUUAUUAGGAAAUAUUACAUCACUUGUUAACAUAAUUGGUAAAGUUUUUCUUUUGUGAUGGAUAAAUCAAUUAGUAUUCCGUAUUCAAAACCAUAUUUUAUCUUGUUCUGCAUUCAAUUAGUUUUUGUAGUAAAACAGUAAUGAGAUUAGUGAUUCCCUACUUUAAUUUCUUUGACAUUAAUGCUAAUUUUUCUUCGAAGUAAUAUACAUAUAUCCUUUCUUCGUUCCAAUAUAUCUUUAGUUUUCAUUCGAAGCUCAUCUAGUUAUACUGACCUUUCAGCAUUCCGGGAGUCAAGUCAUGAAGAAGUAUAUUUGAGUUGCAAAAGCAGUUGUUCAUCAUAUCUAAAUUCAAGCCAGAAUGACAUUUCUCUGGCUCCUUUUCUCUGGCUCCUUGCACUUCAACAUGGACCCCAAACAACAAAGGGGAUUUUUGUUGCUGCAGUUUAAUGGCUCGAUUUUUUUUCUUUAUUUAGUUCAAUAUUACAAUUGAUGUAUUCGUUUGAUUCUGUAACACCAAUAUUCAUUGAGAAAUUGUUAUUCGUUCAUUGAAAAAUUGUUAUUAUUCAUUA
Molecule: long non-coding RNA, 1932 nt
Filed under: Salvia miltiorrhiza (redroot sage)
Lineage: Eukaryota; Viridiplantae; Streptophyta; Magnoliopsida; Lamiales; Lamiaceae
Description: long non-coding RNA (SMIL_LNC010327)
Source: RNAcentral